This 442-nucleotide ribosomal RNA is filed under the name uncultured bacterium. RNAcentral's name for it is "partial 16S ribosomal RNA". It matches the Rfam family "Bacterial small subunit ribosomal RNA", at positions 338 to 794 of the family's 1533-position model. The record is from RNAcentral.
CCUACGGGAGGCUGCAGUGGGGAAUAUUGGGCAAUGGGCGCAAGCCUGACCCAGCAACGCCGCGUGAAGGAAGAAGGCUUUCGGGUUGUAAAAUUCUUUUCUCAGGGACGAAGAAAGUGACGGUACCUGAGGAAUAAGCCACGGCUAACUACGUGCCAGCAGCCGCGGUAAUAUGUAGGGGGCAAGGGUUAUCCGGAUUUACUGGGUGUAAAGGGCGUGUAGGAGGGAAAGCAAGUCAGAUGUGAAAACCAUGGGCUCAACCGGUGGCGCGCAUUUGAAACUGUUUUUCUUGAGUGCUGGAGAGGCAGACGGAAUUCCUCGUGUAGCGGUGAAAUGCGUAGAUAUGCGGAGGAACACCAGUGGCGAAGGCGGUCUGCUGGACAGCAACUGACGCUGAGGCGCGAAAGCGUGGGGAGCAAACAGGAUUAGAUCCCCUGGUAGU